GCCCCNNAUUCUACCACCCUUUGUGAACUUACCUUUGUUGCUUUGGCGGGCCGCGGGGUCUGUGGACCCCCCGUCGACUCCGGUGGACGUGCGCCCGUCAGAGGCCCCUUAACUCUGAUAAUUAGUGAAGUCCGAGUCGAAAUAUAAUCGUUAAAACUUUCAACAACGGAUCUCUUGGUUCUGGCAUCGAUGAAGAACGCAGCGAAAUGCGAUAAGUAAUGUGAAUUGCAGAAUUCAGUGAAUCAUCGAAUCUUUGAACGCACAUUGCGCCCCUUGGUAUUCCGGGGGGCAUGCCUGUUCGAGCGUCAUUACGCCUCUCAAGCCCAGCUUGGUACUGGGUGUCGUCCUCCUAGGGGCGCGCCCGAAAAUCAGCGGCGACGCGGUCGGUCUUCAAGCGUAGUAAAACUUCUGUUUCGCUUUGGAGCCCGGGCGCGUCCGCCGGACAACCCCCUAUUCUCAAUGGUUGACCUCGGAUCAGGUAGGGAUACCCGCUGAACUUAAGCAUAUCAAUAAG
RNAcentral lists this ribosomal RNA (514 nucleotides) under Xylographa carneopallida. RNAcentral's name for it is "eukaryotic LSU rRNA". The stretch from base 155 to 308 matches the Rfam family "5.8S ribosomal RNA". The record is from RNAcentral. Lineage: Eukaryota; Fungi; Ascomycota; Lecanoromycetes; Baeomycetales; Xylographaceae.